AACGAACGCUGCCCACAUGCCUAACACCUGCAAGUCGAACGAGACCUUCGUGUCUAGUGGCGCACGGGUGCGUAACGCGUGGUAACCUGCCCUUAGGGUCGGAAUAACUCCGUGAAAUGGGUGCUAAUACCGGAUCAUGUCUUCGGACCAAAGAAUUAUCGCCUAUGGAGGGGCCCGCGUUGGAUUAGUUAGUUGGUUGGGUAAAAUCCUACCAAGGCGACGAUCCAUAGCUGGUCUGAGAGGAUGAUCAGCCACACUGGGACUGAGACACGCCCCAGACUCCUACGGGAGGCAGCAGUGGGGAAUAUUGGACAAUGGGCGAAAGCCUGAUCCAGCAAUGCCGCGUGAGUGAUGAAGGCCUUAGGGUUGUAAAGCUCUGUUACCCGGGAUGAUAAUGGCAGUCGCGGGAGAAUAAGCUCGGGCUAACUCCGUG
RNAcentral lists this ribosomal RNA (433 nucleotides) under uncultured bacterium. RNAcentral's name for it is "partial 16S ribosomal RNA". It matches the Rfam family "Bacterial small subunit ribosomal RNA", at positions 29 to 507 of the family's 1533-position model. The record is from RNAcentral.